GCCGCGGUAAUACGUAGGUYGACAAGCGUUGUCCGGAUUUAUUGGGCGUAAAGCGAGCGCAGGCGGUCCGGUAAGUCUGAUGUGAAAGCCCACGGCUCAACCGUGGAACGGCAUUGGAAACUGGCGGACUUGAAUGUAGCAGAGGAAAGUGGAAUUCCAUGUGUAGCGGUGGAAUGCGUAGAUAUAUGGAGGAACACCAGUGGCGAAAGCGACUUUCUGGGCUAUGAUUGACGCUGAGGCUCGAAAGCGUGGGGAGCGAACAGGAUUAGAUGCCCUGGUAGUCCACGCCGUAAACGAUGAGUGCUAAGUGUUGGAGGGUUUCCGCCCUUCAGUGCUGGAGUUAACGCAUUAAGCACUCCGCCUGGGGAUUACGGACCGCAAGGUUGAAACUCAAAAGAAUUGACGGGGACCCGCACAAGCGGUGGAGCAUGUGGUUUAAUUCGAAGCAACGCGAAGAACCUUACCAGCUCUUGACAUCUUCUGCCACCUUCAGAGAUGAAGGGUUCCCUUCGGGGACAGAAUGACAGGUGGUGCAUGGUUGUCGUCAGCUCGUGUCGUGAGAUGUUGGGUUAAGUCCCGUAACGAGCGCAACCCUUAUUGUUAGUUGCCAGCAUUGAGUUGGGCACUCUAGCAAGAGCUGCCGGUGAUAAACCGGAGGAAGGCGGGGAUGACGUCAAAUCAUCAUGCCCCUUAUGAGCUGGGCUACACACGUGCUACAAUGGAUGGUACAACGAGUGGCGAGACCGCGAGGUUUAGCUAAUCUCCCAAAGCCAUUCUCAGUUCGGAUUGCAGGCUGCAACUCGCCUGCAUGAAGUCGGAAUCGCUAGUAAUCGCGGAUCAGCAUGCCGCGGUGAAUUCGUUCCCGGGUCUUGCACUCACCGCCC
This 884-nucleotide ribosomal RNA is filed under the name uncultured Alloiococcus sp. RNAcentral describes it as "bacterial SSU rRNA". It matches the Rfam family "Bacterial small subunit ribosomal RNA", at positions 514 to 1395 of the family's 1533-position model. Lineage: Bacteria; Bacillati; Bacillota; Bacilli; Lactobacillales; Carnobacteriaceae. The record is from RNAcentral.